This 430-nucleotide ribosomal RNA is filed under the name uncultured bacterium. RNAcentral describes it as "bacterial SSU rRNA". It matches the Rfam family "Bacterial small subunit ribosomal RNA", at positions 355 to 776 of the family's 1533-position model. The record is from RNAcentral.
UGGGGAAUAUUGCGCAAUGGGGGAAACCCUGACGCAGCGACGCCGCGUGGGUGAUGAAGGCCUUCGGGUCGUAAAGCCCUGUCGUAGGGGAAGAAAUCGUUGUCGGUUAAUACCCGGCAGCGUUGACGGUACCCUACAAGAAAGCACCGGCUAACUCCGUGCCAGCAGCCGCGGUAAUACGGAGGGUGCGAGCGUUGUUCGGAAUCACUGGGCGUAAAGCGCGUGUAGGCGGCAGGUUAAGUCUGGUGUGAAAGCCCGGGGCUCACCCCCGGAAGUGCGCUGGAAACUGGCCAGCUAGAGUAUGGGAGAGGGAAGCGGAAUUCCUGGUGUAGCGGUGAAAUGCGUAGAUAUCAGGAGGAACACCGGCGGCGAAGGCGGCUUCCUGGACCAAUACUGACGCUGAGACGCGAAAGCGUGGGGAGCAAACAGG